GACAGAGUUCCGGGUGCCGGGCAGCCGCUGAGAGAAGCAGAACGUGGUAGCUGGUAGUGGAAAGAGGAAAGCUGGCAUGUUCCGAAUCGAGGGCCUCGCGCCGAAGCUGGACCCCGAGGAGAUGAAACGGAAGAUGCGCGAGGAUGUGAUCUCCUCCAUACGGAACUUUCUCAUCUACGUGGCCCUGCUGCGAGUCACACCUUUUAUCCUAAAGAAACUGGAUAGCAUAUGAAGAUGAACAUCACAUGUGAAUGCAUGAUAAGAGGAACCUGGUUACAACUUCUACUCCUAUCUGCAAAUGAAUAGGCCCCGAAAGAUGUAAGAGACUCUGAAUGGACAUAAAAAUUCUACUCAUUAAGAACAAGUUUGGCCUCUGGUAACUGACCUUCAUAGCUAAAAUUUAAAACUGCUUGAGAAGUAAAGACAUUUUGUGAUGGUACACCCAUAUGCUUGUGAUGUUCAGCCUCUGUGAAUGUUGAUAUAAUUAAUUUUUCCAUGGAGAUAAAAGUUCCUGUUCUGCAAAAUAGGCUUCAUUCGUUUUGUCUCUGAAGAGAGAAAUAUCAUCAAUGUGCUGUUAGCACAAGAGAUGGAGGAAAGAAAAUCACUAAUUGAAAAUAUGUUCAUGAUACCAAGAGACUGAAGACUAAUUUUUAUGGGACAGUGCGGAAACAUCAUGGAGACUACUGCUGGAUGUUAUACAGCAAUGGGAGUUUAUAAGAUGCUUUUCUUCCCAAAAUUCAGAUUGCAUUGCCUCUGAUUAUUUGAACUGAUGACAGAGAAGCAAUAUAUAGAUCAUUUAAAAUAACAAAUACUACAAAAAAGUUUUUAGAAAUGUGAUAGAAAAGAACUAAAACAAGGAAAUAUAGGAAAUGGUGAAAUGAAUUGCUCAUCUUAAUAUCAUUAGUAAAAACUCAGCUUUUAUUUGAUUUUAGUGUACUUUUGAGUAAAAUUUAAUAGGCUUACUAUUGAAUCUUUAUGUCAACUAAAGUUUUAUAAAUGCUCAA
Leopardus geoffroyi (Geoffroy's cat) is the source of this 1004-nucleotide RNA transcript. It is a transcript of the gene named translocase of outer mitochondrial membrane 5, with no coding region annotated. The record is from RefSeq and is a predicted model, not a curated record. The transcript has 4 exons. NCBI's taxonomy places the organism in Eukaryota, Metazoa, Chordata, Mammalia, Carnivora, Felidae.